Molecule: ribosomal RNA, 490 nt
Filed under: uncultured bacterium
Lineage: Bacteria
Description: partial 16S ribosomal RNA
Rfam family: Bacterial small subunit ribosomal RNA
Source: RNAcentral
AUUGAACGCUGGCGGCAGGCCUAACACAUGCAAGUCGAACGGUAACAGGAAGCAGCUUGCUGCUUCGCUGACGAGUGGCGGACGGGUGAGUAAUGUCUGGGAAGCUGCCUGAUGGAGGGGGAUAACUACUGGAAACGGUAGCUAAUACCGCAUAAUGUCGCAAGACCAAAGAGGGGGACCUUCGGGCCUCUUGCCAUCGGAUGUGCCCAGAUGGGAUUAGCUUGUUGGUGGGGUAACGGCUCACCAAGGCGACGAUCCCUAGCUGGUCUGAGAGGAUGACCAGCCACACUGGAACUGAGACACGGUCCAGACUCCUACGGGAGGCAACAGUGGGGAAUAUUGCACAAUGGGCGCAAGCCUGAUGCAGCCAUGCCGCGUGUAUGAAGAAGGCCUUCGGGUUGUAAAGUACUUUCAGCGGGGAGGAAGGGAGUAAAGUUAAUACCUUUGCUCAUUGACGUUACCCGCAGAAGAAGCACCGGCUAACUCCGUG